This is a non-coding RNA of Plectropomus leopardus (leopard coralgrouper), 1732 nucleotides long. The record is from the annotation of a RefSeq genome assembly. NCBI's taxonomy places the organism in Eukaryota, Metazoa, Chordata, Actinopteri, Perciformes, Serranidae.
ACGCGACUUCUACCCUGAGGGUCUCACUUUUCAGUGGACUGAUGCCAGUGGUGGCAACCUGAACUCUGAACAAUAUCCUGCGGCUAUGAAAGACAACAAAUAUACAGAAGUCAGUUUGGUCAAGGUGUCAAAAUCAGACUGGGAGUCUGGGAAGUUUUUAAAAUGUUCUGUGACUCCCCCUGGAAAUCCCGAAAGUGUGAAAUUGGAAAAGAAGACCACACUUCCUCCAAAGAUAACUUUGUUAGCAGCACCAGUCGGAGACACUCAGGCACUGGUGUGUACAACUGAGAAUUUACCAUCGAAAGAAUUGUCAGUUAAAUGGAAAAAGAGUGAAGACUAUAUAACUGACUUCACUAGUUGGGACCCCAAAAUCAGUGGAGAGGUAUAUACAGCUGUCAGUGUCCUGAAGGUCAAGAACACAGACUGGGACAGUGAAGCUGUUUACACAUGCGAGAUGACGCACCAAGGAACAACAUAUAUUAAAAAGGCCUCUAAAGCUACUAUCACAAUGACACUGAGCAAAUCAAGUCCCAAAGAAAUCUUUAACAACAACCAGGCGAAGUUGCAGUGUGUCAUUACUGGAAAGGAACAGGACACUGUAAAUGAUGUUCAGAUCACUUGGCAAAUCAAUGGAAAAAGUGUGACCGACAAAGUUGAAACUACAGUGUCUGGAAGCAGCAAAAUCAGCACAAUGACUCAAAAUCGGAGUGAGUGGCAGAAAGUCAAAAGAGUGCGCUGCUCUGCCAUAAAAGACGAUAUGAUGCCAGUUAUUCAGGAUCUGACCGUCAACACAGGAGACGGGAGCGAGCCAAAAGUGACUGUCCACAUCCUCCCAAAGGAAGACAUCAGCGAAGCAGACUCAUCUGCAAUCACUCUGGUGUGUCUGGUCUCCAGUUCUGUGCUGCAGGAUUACUACAUCACCUGGUCAGAAGAUAAUGGAAAUACCGCCGGCACAUACAUUGAUGGCGUUAACUUCCCCCCGCAAAAGACCCAAAAUGGCUACUCAGUUACAAGUAUUUACACCACCACCAAAGAAAAGUGGGACGGCGCCACCAUGUUCUCCUGCAACGUCUGGCCUGCUGUGGGCGAAAACCCUAUGAAAACCCAUAACGUGUCUAAGUUCCAGUGUGGCACCAAGGAAAAUUGUCUUCUAGAGUCAAACCUGAGAUUUGCUUAUAGCUGCACAGACGACGUCACUAAGGAAGAUGAGUACAGCAGCCUUUGGUCUACAACCUCCUCCUUCAUAUUCCUCUUCAUAUGCUCUCUACUCUAUAACAUGAUAAUCAGCUUGGUCAAGAUGAAGGAAACAUAAAGGAUGAGAUGGACGAAAAGCACUGAUGACUACAGGUCGGAAUUCUUUGUCUGUUUUUAAUCUAGUUUUAAAAACAUGUUUAAACAUGUUAAUAUAAGAUAAGAAGGUAAUAAUCUGCUAUAUAUUUGCUGACUUAAAUGGUCAUCAGACAGAAUGAUUUCAUAUGUUAUUGAAAGUGGAUUUAUGCGGAAAAAUAGACUUGCAAUUCUUAAUUAUUUAUAUUUUUUCCUGCAUUGGGUACUGAUGUGACAUUAUACAGUGGUUAUUUGAUUACUUUUCUUAAACACUUUGUGUGGUUAAAAUGUGUUUGCUCAUUAUCAUGUAAAUCACAAAUGGCAAUAUUGUAGAAAUAUAUAUAUUCUGUAUGCCACUUUGCAUUGGACGGUAUAAAUAUAAAUAUUUACUUUUCAUGUUUGGUCA